UUGCUCUUCAACGAGGAAUACCUAGUAAGCGUGAGUCAUCAGCUCGCGUUGAUUACGCCCCUGCCCUUUGUACACACCGCCCGUCGCUACUACCGAUUGAAUGGCUUAGUGAGGUCUCCGGAUUGGCGGUGGGGAGCCGGCAACGGCACCCUAUUGCUGAGAAGCUGAUCAAACUUGGUCAUUUAGAGGAAGUAAAAGUCGUAACAAGGUUUCCGUAGGUGAACCUGCGGAAGGAUCAUUAACGAAUAACUAUGGCGUUGGUUGUAGCUGGCUCCUCGGAGCAAUGUGCACGCCCGCCAUUUUUAUCUUUCCACCUGUGCACCGACUGUAGGUCUGGAUACCUCUCGCCUCCGGGCGGAUGCGAGGGUUGCUCGUAAGGGCUUCCCUUGAACUUCCAGGCUCUACGUCUUUUUACACACCCCAAUAGUAUGAUGCAGAAUGUAGUCAAUGGGCUUCUCAGCCUAUAAAACACUAUACAACUUUCAGCAACGGAUCUCUUGGCUCUCGCAUCGAUGAAGAACGCAGCGAAAUGCGAUAAGUAAUGUGAAUUGCAGAAUUCAGUGAAUCAUCGAAUCUUUGAACGCACCUUGCGCUCCUUGGUAUUCCGAGGAGCAUGCCUGUUUGAGUGUCAUUAAAUUCUCAACCUCACCAGUUUUCUGAACUGACUGAGGCUUGAUGUGGGGGUUUGUGCAGGCUGCCUCACCGGCGGUCUGCUCCCCUGAAAUGCAUUAGCGAGGUUCAUGCUGGACCUCCGUCUAUUGGUGUGAUAAUUAUCUACGCCGUGGACGAGGAUACAGACUCGCUUCUAACCGUCCGCGAGGACAAUACCUUGACAAUUUGACCUCAAAUCAGGUAGGACUACCCGCUGAACUUAAGCAUAUCAAUAAGCGGAGGA
RNAcentral lists this ribosomal RNA (895 nucleotides) under uncultured fungus. RNAcentral's name for it is "eukaryotic LSU rRNA". The stretch from base 1 to 241 matches the Rfam family "Eukaryotic small subunit ribosomal RNA", at positions 1593 to 1831 of the family's 1831-position model. Lineage: Eukaryota; Fungi. The record is from RNAcentral.